This is a long non-coding RNA of Bombina bombina (fire-bellied toad), 428 nucleotides long. RefSeq lists it as uncharacterized. The record is from RefSeq and is a predicted model, not a curated record. The transcript has 3 exons. Lineage: Eukaryota; Metazoa; Chordata; Amphibia; Anura; Bombinatoridae.
UAGAAUUUAAUGUUAUAUGAUAUUUAGCAUUCAUAAUCUACAGUUGAUGUUGCUAGUGCUGCUGCUAUUUCUGCAAAUUAUAGUAUUUCUUUUGUAAAAAAAAGAACAUGAAAAAUCUACCAUCAUCACCUUGCGAAUAUUUUAAAAAAAUGGCGCAAAACAAAGGGUUUCUUUAAAGAAGAGGACUUCUCCUGCUGAAUGCUCCACAAGCUCUCUAAGGAUCCUUUCAGAAUUCUAAUGCCGGGCCUGGCCCUUAUUUGACUGUGUAUUUAAUAACUGCUGUUGCUGUUGAGAGUUGGUACAAUUUUCUCAAAGGAAUUUUCCAUCUCUGAAAGGAUCCAUUCAGAAUUCUAAAGCCGUCUCUUAUUUGACUGUGUAUUUAAUAACUGCAGUUGCUGCUGUUGCGAGUUGGUACAAUUUUCUAAAAG